This 1206-nucleotide ribosomal RNA is filed under the name Triticum aestivum (bread wheat). RNAcentral's name for it is "partial small subunit ribosomal RNA". Lineage: Eukaryota; Viridiplantae; Streptophyta; Magnoliopsida; Poales; Poaceae. The record is from RNAcentral.
AUGACCCCGACGGCGCGGCACCUCGUCGACGAGAUCCUAGAGGAGAUCUUCCUCCGCCUGCCCACCCCGGCCGCGCUCGCCCGCGCCUCAACCGCCAGCCCCCGUUUCCGCCGCAUCAUCACCGAGCGCGCCUUCCUCCGCCGUUUCCUCGCCCUCCAUCCGCCGCCACUCCUGGGGUUCGCAGCUGGCGUAGGUGGCUUCUACCCGGCCCAGGAUCCCCACCCCUCCGCCCCGCUCGCGCGCGCCAUCGUCGACGCUGCGGAUUUCACCUACUCCUUCGUCCCCAAGGCCAAAAGCUGGUUCGGCCACUGGCAUCCCUGCGACGCCCGCGACGGCCGCCUCCUCCUGGAGGCCAGCUACCGGUUCGAUCUCGAGACGAUCCCGAGCCACGCGGUGUGCGAUCCCCUGUCACGGAGAUACGUGGUGCUUCCAGCCAUACCCGAGGAAACGACCAUCCCGCAGGAGCGUCUCUUUGAGUUCCGCUCUAUCCUCGCCCCAAUAGCCGAGGACGAGGACGAGACGUCGUUCAAGGUGAUCUUCAUGGCGAACUACAAAAGCAAGCUGCUUACCUAUGUAUUCUCUUCUGUUACUCUGCAAUGGUGUGUAGCUGCAUCCAUCAGCUGGGGUUCUUUGGGCACAGCUGAUCCCUAUUUGGCCAGGCCCCUUUGCAACAACCUACACAGCUUCUUCUACUGGGACGCGGAUUGGCGCGGGAAGCUGUUUGUGCUAGACACGUGCAGGAGGGAGUUUUACAUUGCCAACUUUGCCGCGGGUAACCAUCGGCAGCUUCUAAAUAAGCGUGGACACGGUAUGAUCAGGUCUUCCAUUGCUGUGGGUACAGACAGAGCCCUUGAGAUGUUUUCUCUCAUUGGUGAUUACGGUUCAGAUGCCUUGUAUGGUCUCUAUCAUACCACUCAGCAGAAUGACGGUGAAUCUUUCAACGAAUGGCAGCUAAAAAAUGUUGCAGCAUUGCCUCGCGGAUGUCUCUAUGAUACUGUGGGUGCAACCGAGGGAUUCAUGGUCCUUCGAGGCUAUCAGGAGCCUCAUCAUGGUUUGCCUGGGAAUCGGGAUGUAGAAGAUUUAUUUUCACUGGAUCUCAAGACUUCUGAACUUACAAAGGUCUGCAGAGUAGCACCACAGGAUCCUACCAGGCGUGUUUGCUCGUACUUUGGCUUCCCACCAUCAUUAUCGAAACCAAGUCUAUGA